RNAcentral lists this ribosomal RNA (417 nucleotides) under uncultured bacterium. RNAcentral's name for it is "bacterial SSU rRNA". It matches the Rfam family "Bacterial small subunit ribosomal RNA", at positions 355 to 786 of the family's 1533-position model. The record is from RNAcentral.
UGGGGAAUAUUGGGCAAUGGGCGCAAGCCUGACCCAGCAACGCCGCGUGAAGGAAGAAGGCUUUCGGGUUGUAAACUUCUUUUGUCAGGGACGAAACAAAUGACGGUACCUGACGAAUAAGCCACGGCUAACUACGUGCCAGCAGCCGCGGUAAUACGUAGGUGGCAAGCGUUAUCCGGAUUUACUGGGUGUAAAGGGCGUGUAGGCGGGAUUGCAAGUCAGAUGUGAAAACUGGGGGCUCAACCUCCAGCCUGCAUUUGAAACUGUAGUUCUUGAGUGCUGGAGAGGCAAUCGGAAUUCCGUGUGUAGCGGUGAAAUGCGUAGAUAUACGGAGGAACACCAGUGGCGAAGGCGGAUUGCCGGACAGUAACUGACGCUGAGGCGCGAAAGCGUGGGGAGCAAACAGGAUUAGAUACC